Nerophis ophidion (straightnose pipefish) is the source of this 5490-nucleotide long non-coding RNA. RefSeq lists it as uncharacterized. The record is from RefSeq and is a predicted model, not a curated record. The transcript is spliced from 2 exons. Lineage: Eukaryota; Metazoa; Chordata; Actinopteri; Syngnathiformes; Syngnathidae.
GCCCUCCUUCACUGCUUCAUCAUUUUUCUUUUCAGACUGAUGUGGAUCGGACGGGUUUUAUUCGCAGUGAGUCAUACUUUGCUCUUUUUCACUUGCAUUCUGCUGUGUGCUUCAUAAUGUGGCUUUUUUUGAGUGCUUUGCUGAUUUAAAUUGUGUGCUUUGCUGUUUUAAAUUGUAUGCCUCGCUGCUUUCAUUUGUGUUUGUGUUGCUGUGACAUCUUGACCCGCAUUGCACAUGCACAUGUGUUAGGAACACAUGUAGAAACAACACACAUUUAGUUGCUGACAAACAUGCACAUGUGUUAGGAACACAACAUGUAGAAACAACACACAUUUAGUUGCUGACAAACAUGCACAUGUGUUAGGAACACAACAUGUAGAAACACACAUUUAUUAGUCAGUGACAAACAUGCACAUGUGUUAGGAACACAACAUGUAGAAACACACAUUUAUUAGUCAGUGACAAACAUGCACAUGUGUUAGGAACACAACAUGUAGAAACACACAUUUAGUUGCUGACAAACAUGCACAUGUUAGGAACACAACAUGUAGAAACACACAUUUAGUGACAAACAUGCACAUGUGUUAGGAACACAACAUGUAGAAACACACAUUUAGUGACAAACAUGCACAUGUGUUAGGAACACAACAUGUAGAAACACACAUUUAGUGACAAACAUGCACACGUGUUAGGAACACAACAUGUAGAAACACACAUUUAGUGACAAACAUGCACAUGUUAGGAACACAACAUGUAGAAACACACAUUUAGUGACAAACAUGCACAUGUGUUAGGAACACAACAUGUAGAAACACACAUUUAGUGACAAACAUGCACACGUGUUAGGAACACAACAUGUAGAAACACACAUUUAGUGACAAACAUGCACAUGUUAGGAACACAACAUGUAGAAACAAGACACAUUUAGUUGCUGACAAGCUGUCAGUCACCAUGGCUCUCAACUGCUGGCUAAGAGAGUCAAGGUGUGGCUGAAUGUUUGCUACAGGUGAACACACCUGCCUUUACUGAUUAGGCCCAAAUAUGGUUGUGCCAAUGUUUGGUUGGGUCUGGCUCUCUGGGAGGCCACUGCUUGGUUGGGUCUGGCUCUCUGGGAGGCCACUGCUUGGUUGGCUUUGGCUCUCUGGGAGGCCACUGCUUGGUUGGGUCUGGCUCUCUGGGAGGCCACUGCUUGGUUGGGUCUGGCUCUCUGGGAGGCCACUGCUUGGUUGGGUCUGGCUCUCUGGGAGGCCACUGCUUGGUUGGGUCUGGCUCUCUGGGAGGCCACUGCUUUAAUUCUUGUCAUCAGUCAUUAUUGAAGUUUGGUCUGGUCACGUACAGGCUCUGUAUGUAUAUGGACAUGUGUAUGUAUGUUUAUGGUCAUUUACAGACUCAACAUGUAUAUCGUUUAUAGUUAUGUACAGGCUUGACAUGUAUGUAUAUUUAUGGUCAUGUAUAGGGACAUUAUCUCUAUGUAUGUUAAUGGUCAUGUACAUGUAUCUCUGUAUGUAUAGUUAUGGUCAUGUAUAGGCUCUGUAUGUAUAUUGUUAAUGGUCAUGUAUAUUUAUAUAUGUUCAUGGACAUGUAUAUCUCUAUAUGUAUAUGCUCAACAUGUAUGUAUGUUAAUCAUGUAUAGUUAUGUUAUAGUUAUAGUUAGUUUCAAUGUUUGUUUAUAGUCAUAUACAGACUGUAUGUAUAUGGACAUGUAUAUCUAUAUAUGUAUAUGCUCAACAUGUAUGUAUGUUUAUAGUCAUGUAUAGUUAUGUAUAUUUCAAUGUUUGUUUAUAGUCAUAUACAGACUGUAUGUAUAUGGACAUGUAUAUCAUUUACGUAUAUGUACAGGAUCUGUAUGAAUAUUUUAUGUGCAGGCUUGACAUGUUUAUCUCUGUAUACUUAUACAUACAGAUAUAUGUCGAGCCUGUACAUGACCAUGUUUAUGGUCAUGUACAGGCUCAACAUGUAUUUAUAUUUACAGUCAUGUACAGUUUCUGUAUGUGUAUAGGCUUGACAUGUUCCUGUAUAAUUAUGGUCAUGUACAGGCUUGACAUCUCUAUGUAUGUUUAUGGUCAUUUACAGGCUCAAUAUGUAUAUUGUUCAUGGUCAUGCACAGGUUCUGUAUGUAUAUGGACAUGUAUAUCAUUUAUGUACAUGUACAGGCUCUAUGUAUAUUUACGUUCUAUGUACAGGCUUGACAUGUAUGUUUAUGUUCAUGUACAAGCUCAAAAUGUAAAUCUGUAUAUUUAUGUUCAUGUAUAUAUGUUUAUGGUCAUGUAUGUAUAUGGUCUGUUUGCAGGUUGGACGUGCAUCUGUAUUUUGUUCGGUUCAUUUGCAGGCUGGACCUGCAUCAAUGAAUUUUGUGGGGUCCAUUUGCAGGUUGGACGUGCAUCUAUGAAUUUUGUUGGGUCCAUUUGCAGGUUGGACGUGCAUCUAUGAAUUUUGUUCGGUCCAUUUGCAGGCUGGACGUGUAUCUAUGUAUUUUGUUCGGUUAAUUUGCAGGCUGGACGUGAAUCUAUGAAUUUUGUUGGGUCCAUUUGCAGGCUGGACGUGCAGGUAUGUAUUUUGUGGGGUCCAUUUGCAGGUUGGACGUGCAUCUAUGAAUUUUGUUCGGUUCAUUUGCAGGCUGGACGUGAAUCUAUGAAUUUUGUUGGGUCCAUUUGCAGGCUGGACGUGCAGGUAUGUAUUUUGUGGGGUCCAUUUGCAGGUUGGACGUGCAUCUAUGAAUUUUGUUCGGUUCAUUUGCAGGCUGGACGUGAAUCUAUGAAUUUUGUUGGGUCCAUUUGCAGGCUGGACGUGCAUCUAUGAAUUUUGUUAGGUCCACUUGCAGGCUGGACGUGCAGGUAAGUAUUUUGUUCGGUCCAUUUGCAGGUUGGACGUGCAUCUAUGUAUUUUGUGGGGUCCAUUUGCAGGUUGGACGUGCAUCUAUGAAUUUUGUUCGGUCCAUUUGCAGGCUGGACGUGUAUCUAUGUAUUUUGUUCGGUUCAUUUGCAGGCUGGACGUGCAGGUAUGUAUUUUGUGGGGUCCAUUUGCAGGCUGGACGUGCAUCUAUGAAUUUUGUUCGGUUCAUUUGCAGGCUGGACGUGAAUCUAUGAAUUUUGUUGGGUCCAUUUGCAGGCUGGACGUGCAGGUAUGUAUUUUGUGAGGUCCAUUUGCAGGUUGGACGUGCAUCUAUGAAUUUUGUUCGGUUUAUUUGCAGGCUGGACGUGAAUCUAUGAAUUUUGUUGGGUCCAUUUGCAGGCUGGACGUGCAGGUAUGUAUUUUGUGGGGUCCAUUUGCAGGCUGGAUGUGCAGGUAAGUAUUUUGUUCGGUCCAUUUGCAGGCUGGACGUGCAGGUAAGUAUUUUGUUCGGUCCAUUUGCAGGCUGGACGUAUCUAUGUAUUUUGUGGGGUCCAUUUGCAGGUUGGACGUGUAUCUAUGUAUUUUGUUCGGUCCAUUUGCAGGUUGGACGUGCAUCUAUGAAUUUUGUGGGGUCCAUUUGCAGGUUGGACGUGCAGGUAAGUAUUUUGUUCAGUCCAUUUGCAGGUUGGACGUGCAUCUAUGAAUUUUGUGGGGUCCAUUUGCAGGUUGGACGUGCAGGUAUGUAUUUUGUUCGGUCCACUUGCAGGCUGGACGUGCAUCUAUGAAUUUUGUGGGGUCCAUUUGCAGGUUGGACGUGCAGGUAAGUAUUUUGUUGGGUCCAUUUGCAGGCUGGACAUGCAUCUAUGAAUUUUGUGGGGUCCAUUUGCAGGUUGGACGUGCAGGUAAGUAUUUUGUUGGGUCCAUUUGCAGGCUGGACGUGUAUCUAUGAAUUUUGUUGGGUCCAUUUGCAGGUUGGACGUGCAUCUAUGAAUUUUGUUGGGUCCAUUUGCAGGUUGGACGUGCAUCUAUGAAUUUUGUUGGGUCCAUUUGCAGGUUGGACGUGCAUCUAUGAAUUUUGUGGGGUCCAUUUGCAGGUUGGACGUGCAGGUAAGUAUUUUGUUGGGUCCAUUUGCAGGUUGGACGUGCAUCUAUGAAUUUUGUGGGGUCCAUUUGCAGGUUGGACGUGCAGGUAAGUAUUUUGUUCGGUCCACUUGCAGGUUGGACGUGCAUCUAUGAAUUUUGUGGGGUCCAUUUGCAGGUUGGACGUGCAGGUAAGUAUUUUGUUCGGUCCACUUGCAGGCUGGACGUGUAUCUAUGUAUUUUGUUGGGUCCAUUUGCAGGUUGGACGUGCAGGUAUGAAUUUUGUUGGGUCCAUUUGCAGGCUGGACGUGCAUCUAUGAAUUUUUGGUUCAUUUGCAGGCUGGACGUGAAUCUGUGAAUUUUGUUGGGUCCAUUUGCAGGUUGGACGUGUAUCUAUGUAUUUUGGUCGGUUCAUUUGUAGGCUGGAUGUGUUUCUAUGUAUUUUGUUCGGUCCAUUCGCUGGACAUGUUUGUAUUUUGUAGGGUCCAUUUGCAGGCUGGACGUGCAUCUAUGUAUUUUGUUCUCAUGGUUUAUGUACAAUGUCAAUUUUGGGGGGGUCUUGUCAUCUAUAAUACAAGGUCAAUAUGUAUUUAAUAUGUCAUGUUUUUUGUUAUCUACAAAGUCAAUUUUUAAGGGGUAUGGCCAUCUACAAUACGAGGUCAAUUUGUGGGGGGGUCUUGUCAUCUGCAGUACAAGGUCAAUAUGUAUUUUGUCAUGCUUUAUUUACAAGGUCAAUUUUGGGGGGUGUCUGGUUAUCUAUGAUACAAGGUCAAUAUGUAUUUAAUUUAUUUACAAUGUCAUUUUUGGGGGGGGGGGGUUCUGGUCAUCUAUAAUACAAGGUCAAUAUGUAUUUACUUUGUUAUAUACAAGGUCAAUUUUGGGGACGUCUGGUUAUCUACAAUACAAGGUCAAUAUGUAUUUGUCAUGGUUUUUGUUUCUACAAGGUAAAUUUUUGGGUAGGCUGGUCCUCAACAAUACAAGGUCAAUAUUGGUUUAUUCCGCCAAGCAAUGCUACAUAAGUCUUACCCAAUGUUAUCCAUUCAUUCAUGUUAUUUAUCCUUCUUACACCAUGCAGCGCUACAUUACACAACUUACAAUGUGUUCUCAAUCCUGCUGCUUCUCCUCCUGCUGUGCGCACUGUUGGGUGCACUGCGGCCCACAUCAAUGGGCGUUCCCUCUCCGCUGCAGCCGUGCCUCCGCAAGAGAUCUGCAAUCAACACACCUGCCAGUGAUGAGCGACCAGCCUUCAAAAGCCAGCGCGUCUGAGAUCCGAUGUCAGAACGUAGCUUCUCUUACUCCGUACACUUCCUCGAGCCACGUGUUUUUUUCUGGACCCCUUUGGAUUCCUUCUUGGCUUCCUGGACUAAGACCUCGCUCCUGUCCUCGACUAUCCGCCUGCCCCCUGACGUCCGAGCCUGCUUUUCCCCUUUUGGACUCCCGCCUGGUUCUCAACACGCACACUCAACACCCUCUGGUGACCACGCUCAGAUAAUACUUACACGUAGUCGCACUACUUCUCUUUCAGCUAAUCACACACUGCACUCUCAUACUGAGCUGUCAAUAAACAUGCUUACAAUU